GUGUCAGCCGCCGCGGUAAUACGUAGGGGGCUAGCGUUGUCCGGAAUUAUUGGGCGUAAAGAGCUCGUAGGCGGUUUGGCAAGUCGGGUGUGAAAUCUCCGCGCUUAACGUGGAGCGGCCAUUCGAUACUGCCAUGACUAGAGUCCGGUAGGGGAGUGUGGAAUUCCCGGUGUAGCGGUGAAAUGCGCAGAGAUCGGGAGGAACACCCGUAGCGAAGGCGGCACUCUGGGCCGGUACUGACGCUGAGGAGCGAAAGCGUGGGGAGCAAACAGGAUUAGAAACCCUUGUAGUCC
RNAcentral lists this ribosomal RNA (293 nucleotides) under uncultured bacterium. RNAcentral describes it as "partial 16S ribosomal RNA". It matches the Rfam family "Bacterial small subunit ribosomal RNA", at positions 505 to 796 of the family's 1533-position model. The record is from RNAcentral.